Molecule: ribosomal RNA, 551 nt
Filed under: uncultured Acinetobacter sp.
Lineage: Bacteria; Pseudomonadati; Pseudomonadota; Gammaproteobacteria; Moraxellales; Moraxellaceae
Description: bacterial SSU rRNA
Rfam family: Bacterial small subunit ribosomal RNA
Source: RNAcentral
GGAUGCUAAUACCGCAUACGUCCUACGGGAGAAAGCAGGGGAUCUUCGGACCUUGCGCUAAUAGAUGAGCCUAAGUCGGAUUAGCUAGUUGGUGGAGUAAAGGCCUACCAAGGCGACGAUCUGUGGCGGGUCUGAGAGGAUGAUCCGCCACACUGGGACUGAGACACGGCCCAGACUCCUACGGGAGGCAGCAGUGGGGAAUAUUGGACAAUGGGGGGAACCCUGAUCCAGCCAUGCCGCGUGUGUGAAGAAGGCCUUAUGGUUGUAAAGCACUUUAAGCGAGGAGGAGGCUACUGAGACUAAUACUCUUGGAUAGUGGACGUUACUCGCAGAAUAAGCACCGGCUAACUCUGUGCCAGCAGCCGCGGUAAUACAGAGGGUGCGAGCGUUAAUCGGAUUUACUGGGCGUAAAGCGUGCGUAGGCGGCUUUUUAAGUCGGAUGUGAAAUCCCCGAGCUUAACUUGGGAAUUGCAUUCGAUACUGGGAAGCUAGAGUAUGGGAGAGGAUGGUAGAAUUCCAGGUGUAGCGGUGAAAUGCGUAGAGAUCUGGAG